AUUAACGAUAAAUGUGUAUGUUCCAGGCAAUAAUUUAAAAUAUUUGUGAAACUUAUCGUUUUGCGCUAAAAUACAUCAAUGUGUGUGAAAUUCUUUGUCAUUGUUUUUGUUUUGAACAUCAUAUUCGUGCCUGCCGGUGGAAAAAUUAGAGCGACAUACGGACAAGUAAGAUGAUCAUCGUUUAAACAAAUGGUUUAUUUUCUUGUACAAGCAGCCGUGGCCCGAGCAGCGCAAAUCGUGGCAGAGAAUUAUAAGUAAUAAGGGAAAUAAUAGUGCGAUAAGAAACUGGAGCUCGGGGAAAACUAUAAUUUACGUCUCUACGCAGCACGUACGCAUGUGUGGGUGCAUUUGCGAUUGUGGCCUAAGAAGCGGCCCGAAAAACCUUACCAAACCUUUUUUUAUUUUACGCUUACAUCAACGUUAUGCCACAAUCACGUGCCGCCGCAGCUGCAGCUACUGGCAGAGGCCCACAGGCAUUCAUAAAAAUUGGCCACUAUUUACUGGACGCAACACAAGGUAGCAGUAAAGAUAUUGGACCUCAUGCAUUAAAUGUGAGUUUAAGCUCCAACUCGAUUUUCAGUACAAAUUCUUGAGCUUAAGCUCACCCCUUUAGUGCAAAAAUUGAGUCUGACCUUAGACUCAUUUUUUAUGCAUGAGGCCCAUUAAAUCGCAUAAAUUGGUUGAAAUGGUUGGAAGUGGACCAACAACUUGCUGCCUUCUCGUCAAUUUGGUUACGUUGUGUUGACUAACUCCGGAGGCAUUAUGGAUCUUGAGGAGGCCAGACGGUAACAUUUGGGAGGCAAAAUGCUAGGAUUCUUGUUCUAAGCUGGGCACUGGGUAUUCACACUUUUGUUAGUGUAUUGAAGCUAUUGCAGCUGGCAAGAGCAACAUGUUUAUAUUA
This 901-nucleotide long non-coding RNA is filed under the name Rhagoletis pomonella (apple maggot). RNAcentral describes it as "uncharacterized LOC118741058". The record is from RNAcentral. Lineage: Eukaryota; Metazoa; Arthropoda; Insecta; Diptera; Tephritidae.